GGAAGGGAUGUAUUUAUUAGAUAAAAAACCAAUGCCCUUCGGGGCUCCUUGGUGAAUCAUAAUAACUUAACGAAUCGCAUGGCCUUGCGCCGGCGAUGGUUCAUUCAAAUUUCUGCCCUAUCAACUUUCGAUGGUAGGAUAGUGGCCUACCAUGGUAUCAACGGGUAACGGGGAAUUAGGGUUCGACUCCGGAGAGGGAGCCUGAGAAACGGCUACCACAUCCAAGGAAGGCAGCAGGCGCGCUAAUUACCCAAUCCCGACACGGGGAGGUAGUGACAAUAAAUACUGAUACAGGGCUCUUUUGGGUCUUGUAAUUGGAAUGAGUACAAUUUAAAUCCCUUAACGAGGAACAAUUGGAGGGCAAGUCUGGUGCCAGCAGCCGCGGUAAUUCCAGCUCCAAUAGCGUAUAUUAAAGUUGUUGCAGUUAAAAAGCUCGUAGUUGAACCUUGGGCCUGGCUGGCCGGUCCGCCUCACCGCGUGUACUGGUCCGGCCGGGCCUUUCCUUCUGGGGAACCUCAUGCCCUUCACUGGGCGUGUUGGGGAACCAGGACUUUUAC
RNAcentral lists this ribosomal RNA (557 nucleotides) under uncultured fungus. RNAcentral's name for it is "SSU rRNA". It matches the Rfam family "Eukaryotic small subunit ribosomal RNA", at positions 194 to 755 of the family's 1831-position model. Lineage: Eukaryota; Fungi. The record is from RNAcentral.